AGUAACUCCUCACGAGUGUGAAACCUCUGCGAGAAAUCUGCCGAUUUUUCGCAGAGGUUUC
The sequence is a small RNA, 61 nucleotides long. It matches the Rfam family "Mycobacterium sRNA Ms_IGR-8". The record is from Rfam.